AGUGCUUGUGUUCCUGAGUGUAGGUUCUGAGCUAUUAGGUUACUACAGACUACAGAGAUACAACGUGAAAUCUCCACCUCUUUAUGCCUGGGGAGGAAUUGCUGCCUAAGGAUGCCAGUGGAAACAUUAUUUUUGAUACUGUGGAUCUUCGUGACACAUGGGAGGCCCUGGAGAAGUGCAAAGAAGCAGGUUUAACCAAGUCCAUCGGGGUGUCCAAUUUCAAUCACAAACUGCUGGAACUCAUCCUCAACAAGCCAGGGCUCAAGUACAAGCCCACCUGCAACCAGCAGGUGGAAUGUCACCCUUACCUCAACUAGAGCAAACUCCUGGAGUUCUGCAAGUCCAAGGACAUUGUUCUAGUUGCCUACAGGGCCCUGGCAUCUCACAGAGACCCAAACUGGUAAUAAGAGUAUCGAAGAGUUAAUCUAUAUCAGCAACUCUAUUGAUUAAGAAACUUUUAGCAUUUCAUUCUAGAUCAAGUCAAACAUAGAACAGUGAACACAACGGUGCAGUGAAUUCCCAUGUGACACCACUGAGCUUCAAUGUCACCAACAUUCCUUCCCUCCUGUUUCAUUUGUAUAUCUGCCUUCUCCCAACCCCACUCCAAAUACAAUUUCAAAGUGAUUUGAAGGUGAAAUUUACAUAGACUGUAAUGCAUAUACGUUAGCUGUACAAUUUUGAUAAAUGAAUGUACUUUGUAAUCCACAUUAUUGUCAUGAUAUGGAAACUUUCUCCCAAAAAUGUUAAUUGGUGUUCCUUCUGAGACAAUUCCUCCCCACCUCUAGGCAACUAUGUUCAUAACGUUUUCGGUCUUAGAUUAGUUUUGUCUGCUGUAGUACUUUAUGUAAAGAAGUCAUAUAUAUUCUUUGGUGUAGCUUCUUUUGCUCAACCUGUCUGUGACAUUCAUUCCUGUAGUUGCAGGUGUCUGUUCUUUCCAUUUUACUGCUGGGAAAUAUUCCAUUAUAUGGACAUGUACACCACAAGUUGUUUAUCCAUUCACCUAUUGAUGGGCAGUUUAGUUGUUUCCAGUUUGCCACAAUUGCGAAUAAAUCUCUAUGAAUAUUUAUGAGACAC
This 1074-nucleotide long non-coding RNA is filed under the name Homo sapiens (human). Its description in RNAcentral is "non-protein coding LINC02561:19". The record is from RNAcentral. Lineage: Eukaryota; Metazoa; Chordata; Mammalia; Primates; Hominidae.